CCCAGCAUGGCAUAGUGCUUUGAGUAUUGGACUCCAAUUCUGGAGACCAGGGUUCGAUUCCCUGUUCAGCCA
Non-coding RNA from Phrynosoma platyrhinos (Desert horned lizard), 72 nucleotides. The record is from the annotation of a GenBank genome assembly. NCBI's taxonomy places the organism in Eukaryota, Metazoa, Chordata, Lepidosauria, Squamata, Phrynosomatidae.